Molecule: long non-coding RNA, 281 nt
Filed under: Sorghum bicolor (sorghum)
Lineage: Eukaryota; Viridiplantae; Streptophyta; Magnoliopsida; Poales; Poaceae
Description: long non-coding RNA (SBIC_LNC003311)
Source: RNAcentral
UUAUUAAUAACGGCAUCACCCCUUAUAUAGGGCUCAGAAACCGACCUAACGACAUUUACAAAAAUGCCCCGUGACGGUGGGGGAAUAUCCCGGCAUAUUCUCCUAUUACACUCUACCGACUCCAAGUCACUCGUGUAAUUUCGCAUUACAAACCCCACGCGUGUCCCCUGUCUAGGGUUUCAGCCGGUCGGAGGCUUGGAUCCUCCGCCCGGUCGCGGAUCCUUCGACACUUCAUGUGUCGGAGGUUCCUUAGCUCGGACGCGUCGGGGGUUCCUCAGCUC